UACGUAGGCAGCAAGCGUUGUUCGGAAUUACUGGGCGUAAAGAGUGCGUAGGUGGUUGGCUAAGUUUGGUGUGAAAUCUCCCGGCUCAACUGGGAGGGUGCGCCGAAAACUGGUCGGCUAGAGUGUGGGAGAGGGAAGUGGAAUUCCUGGUGUAGCGGUGAAAUGCGUAGAUAUCAGGAGGAACACCUGUGGUGUAGACGGCUUCCUGGACCAUUACUGACACUGAGGCACGAAAGCGUGGGGAGCAAAC
This 250-nucleotide ribosomal RNA is filed under the name uncultured bacterium. Its description in RNAcentral is "partial 16S ribosomal RNA". It matches the Rfam family "Bacterial small subunit ribosomal RNA", at positions 524 to 773 of the family's 1533-position model. The record is from RNAcentral.